AUGUGCGCCCUUGGCAUUAACAACCGUGGGCAGUCAAUCCAGUUUGGUUGUGGAUUUGUUCGAAACGAACUAUCUGGUAACUUUGUGUGGCUGUUUAAUGCAUUCCUGCAUGCAAUGGGUGGAGUUGCACUAAAGAACAUAAUAACAUAUCAAGAUUUUGGAAUGAGGAGUGCUAUUGAUGAGAUGUUUAUCGGGAUAGUACACAGGAAUUGCCACUGGCAUAUAAUAAAAAAGGCCCAGGAGAAGCUUGGGAAGCUGAUGGCUGACGAUGAGCGACUAAACAAUGCAUUCAAGGAUUGUGUUGACAACAACUUGACUGUUGAAGAGUUUGAACACAAAUGGUGGGUGAUGAUGGAAACAUAUGGCCAGACCGACAACAAGCAUUUCCAUUGGUUUUCGUAG
RNAcentral lists this ribosomal RNA (402 nucleotides) under Triticum aestivum (bread wheat). RNAcentral's name for it is "partial small subunit ribosomal RNA". Lineage: Eukaryota; Viridiplantae; Streptophyta; Magnoliopsida; Poales; Poaceae. The record is from RNAcentral.